UACAGAGGUGCCAAGCGUUAGGCGGAGUCACUGGGCUUAAAGCGCGCGUAGGCGGAUGUUUAAGUGUCUUGUGAAAUCCCACGGCUCAACCGUGGAACUGCUGGGCAUACUGGACAUCUCGAGGCACUCAGGGGCGAGCGGAACAAGUGGUGGAGCGGUGAAAUGCGUAGAUAUCACUUGGAACGCCAAUGGUGAAGACAGCUCGCUGGGGGUGUCCUGACGCUGAGGCGCGAAAGCCAGGGGAGCGAACGGG
This 253-nucleotide ribosomal RNA is filed under the name uncultured bacterium. RNAcentral's name for it is "partial 16S ribosomal RNA". It matches the Rfam family "Bacterial small subunit ribosomal RNA", at positions 524 to 776 of the family's 1533-position model. The record is from RNAcentral.